GCCUGGGUGGCUCAGUCAGUUGAGCGUCUGACUUCGGCUCAGGUCAUGAUCUCACGGUUCGUGGGUUCGAGCCCCGCAUCAGGCU
This 85-nucleotide transfer RNA is filed under the name Felis catus (domestic cat). It matches the Rfam family "tRNA". From Rfam's summary of the family: Transfer RNA (tRNA) molecules are approximately 80 nucleotides in length. The record is from Rfam by way of RNAcentral. Lineage: Eukaryota; Metazoa; Chordata; Mammalia; Carnivora; Felidae. RNAcentral also lists the same sequence under 4 other names.